GAUUGCACUAACUGUAAGUCGCUCUGGAUAAGAGCAUCUGCUAAAUGACUUAAA
Salmo salar (Atlantic salmon) is the source of this 54-nucleotide non-coding RNA. NCBI's taxonomy places the organism in Eukaryota, Metazoa, Chordata, Actinopteri, Salmoniformes, Salmonidae. The record is from Rfam.